RNAcentral lists this ribosomal RNA (504 nucleotides) under Acinetobacter junii. RNAcentral's name for it is "bacterial SSU rRNA". It matches the Rfam family "Bacterial small subunit ribosomal RNA", at positions 36 to 525 of the family's 1533-position model. Lineage: Bacteria; Pseudomonadati; Pseudomonadota; Gammaproteobacteria; Moraxellales; Moraxellaceae. The record is from RNAcentral.
UUUUUUACCGAGUCGCAGCUUACCAUGCAGNUCGAGCGGAGAUGAGGUGCUUGCACCUUAUCUUAGCGGCGGACGGGUGAGUAAUGCUUAGGAAUCUGCCUAUUAGUGGGGGACAACAUUCCGAAAGGAAUGCUAAUACCGCAUACGUCCUACGGGAGAAAGCAGGGGAUCUUCGGACCUUGCGCUAAUAGAUGAGCCUAAGUCGGAUUAGCUAGUUGGUGGGGUAAAGGCCUACCAAGGCGACGAUCUGUAGCGGGUCUGAGAGGAUGAUCCGCCACACUGGGACUGAGACACGGCCCAGACUCCUACGGGAGGCAGCAGUGGGGAAUAUUGGACAAUGGGGGGAACCCUGAUCCAGCCAUGCCGCGUGUGUGAAGAAGGCCUUAUGGUUGUAAAGCACUUUAAGCGAGGAGGAGGCUACUGAGACUAAUACUCUUGGAUAGUGGACGUUACUCGCAGAAUAAGCACCGGCUAACUCUGUGCCAGCGCNNCNAGGUAAUAAAA